This is a long non-coding RNA of Vespula pensylvanica (western yellowjacket), 302 nucleotides long. RefSeq lists it as uncharacterized. The transcript has 2 exons. NCBI's taxonomy places the organism in Eukaryota, Metazoa, Arthropoda, Insecta, Hymenoptera, Vespidae. The record is from RefSeq and is a predicted model, not a curated record.
CAUUUGUUUUUUUUUUUUUUUUUUCGUUUUCUUCAUGUUAUCUGCGAUAAUCAGUUUACUUACGUUUCGCAAUUAUUCACAGAAUUUAUAUAUAAUUUUAAAAGGACCACUAAAAAAAUAUCGACCUAUAUAUAUAUGUAUAUGUGUGUAUAUAUAUAUAUAUAUAAAAAAAAACAGUCUCUUCAGAGUAUUAAUUUUAGGCCAAAUUGGGCUAAGUUUAUUCGUCGUUCAUUAUCAAUAUUGAUGUGUAAUAAUGUAAGAAUUACUGAAAUAAAUCAAAUACAGUUACUGUAAAUUUCACA